This 466-nucleotide long non-coding RNA is filed under the name Cricetulus griseus (Chinese hamster). RNAcentral describes it as "lncRNA (ENSCGRG00015037073.1)". Lineage: Eukaryota; Metazoa; Chordata; Mammalia; Rodentia; Cricetidae. The record is from RNAcentral.
AAAGAGCCCUGUGCCCCACACCGCGCAGGGCGUGCUGCACACCUGGCACCCGGGACUCACCAUCUGUUCAGAGCUGCCUCCUCGGCCCAGAGGUGUGGCCUGCGGACAGAUAAGAGUACCUCAUGGCAGCACGACUCCACAUCAACUGCCACUUCAACUGCCAAUCAGAGUUGUGAGUGCCCUACUGUAUGUCUCUGCUCAGUUUUAGAGCUUCCAGUUGAAGGUCUCAGUAACUGCAUCAUCUGUUCUACUCUGCAAGCUGCAAACGAAUACUGUGUAUGCUUCCCCGAAGCAUCAAACUCCUCAGGCUGUUUGUCCCAUACUCACAGCAUACAGAUAAAACGAAAAAUAAUUUCAAGUCGGGCGCGGUGUAUCACACCCCUAAUCUCAGCACUUUGGUUGAGGCAAGAGGAUUGCCACAAGUUGAAGGCCAGCCUGGGCUUACAGAGCCAGACUUCGUCAAAUG